AGCGAACGCUGGCGGCAGGCCUAACACAUGCAAGUCGAACGAACCUUUCGGGGUUAGUGGCGGACGGGUGAGUAACACGUGGGAACGUGCCUUUAGGUUCGGAAUAACUCAGGGAAACUUGUGCUAAUACCGAAUGUGCCCUUCGGGGGAAAGAUUUGUCGCCUUUAGAGCGGCCCGCGUCUGAUUAGCUAGUUGGUUGAGGUAAUGGCUCACCAAGGCGACGAUCAGUAGCUGGUCUGAGAGGAUGAUCAGCCACAUUGGGACUGAGACACGGCCCAAACUCCUACGGGAGGCAGCAGUGGGGAAUCUUGCGCAAUGGGCGAAAGCCUGACGCAGCCAUGCCGCGUGAAUGAUGAAGGUCUUAGGAUUGUAAAAUUCUUUAACCGGGGACGAUAAUGACGGUACCCGGAGAAGAAGCCCCGGCUAACUUCGUG
This 434-nucleotide ribosomal RNA is filed under the name uncultured bacterium. RNAcentral's name for it is "partial 16S ribosomal RNA". It matches the Rfam family "Bacterial small subunit ribosomal RNA", at positions 29 to 507 of the family's 1533-position model. The record is from RNAcentral.